This 253-nucleotide ribosomal RNA is filed under the name uncultured bacterium. RNAcentral describes it as "partial 16S ribosomal RNA". It matches the Rfam family "Bacterial small subunit ribosomal RNA", at positions 524 to 776 of the family's 1533-position model. The record is from RNAcentral.
UACAGAGGGGGCAAGCGUUAAUCGGAAUUACUGGGCGUAAAGCGCGCGUAGGCCGUCGGGCAAGUCGGAUGUGAAAUCCCCGGGCUUAACCUGGGAAUUGCAUUCGAUACUGCUUGACUAGAGUGUGGAAGAGGGAAGCGGAAUUUCCGGUGUAGCGGUGAAAUGCGUAGAGAUCGGAAGGAACACCAGUGGCGAAGGCGGCUUCCUGGUCCAACACUGACGAUGAGGCGCGAAAGAGUGGGGAGCGAACAGG